CCAGGAAUAUUGCGCAAUGGGCGAAAGCCUGACGCAGCGACGCCGCGUGGAGGAUGAAGGCCUUCGGGUUGUAAACUUCUUUUGAUGGGGAGAAAUCAAUGAUCGUACCUGUCGAAUAAGCACCUGCAAACUACGUGCCAGCAGCCGCGGUAAAACGUAGGGUGCAAGCGUUAUCCGGAUUUACUGGGCGUAAAGAGUUUCGUAGGCGGUUUUUGCAAGUUACUGGUCAAAGACCUUGGCUCAACCAAGGAAAGGCAAGUAAUACUGCAGGACUGGUGUUGGGUCGGGGGUGCUGGAAUUCCCGGUGGAGGGGUGAAAUCCGUUGAGAUCGGGAAGAACACCAAGGGCGAAGGCAGGCACCUAGACCCCAACAGACGCUGAUGAACGAAAGCUAGGGGAG
This 400-nucleotide ribosomal RNA is filed under the name uncultured bacterium. RNAcentral's name for it is "bacterial SSU rRNA". It matches the Rfam family "Bacterial small subunit ribosomal RNA", at positions 355 to 768 of the family's 1533-position model. The record is from RNAcentral.